AAUGAACGCUGGCGGCAUGCCUAACACAUGCAAGUCGAACGAGACCUUCGGGUCUAGUGGCGCACGGGUGCGUAACGCGUGGGAACCUGCCCUUAGGUUCGGAAUAACUCCCCGAAAGGGGUGCUAAUACCGGAUCAUGUCUUCGGACCAAAGAUUUAUCGCCGUUGGAUGGGCCCGCGUUGGAUUAGCUAGUUGGUAGGGUAAAAGCCUACCAAGGCGACGAUCCAUAGCUGGUCUGAGAGGAUGAUCAGCCACACUGGGACUGAGACACGGCCCAGACUCCUACGGGAGGCAGCAGUGGGAAAUAUUGGACAAUGGGCGAAAGCCUGAUCCAGCAAUGCCGCGUGAGUGAUGAAGGCCUUAGGGUUGUAAAGCUCUUUUACCCGGGAUGAUAAUGACAGUACCGGGAGAAUAAGCUCCGGCUAACUCCGUG
Molecule: ribosomal RNA, 433 nt
Filed under: uncultured bacterium
Lineage: Bacteria
Description: partial 16S ribosomal RNA
Rfam family: Bacterial small subunit ribosomal RNA
Source: RNAcentral